Molecule: ribosomal RNA, 253 nt
Filed under: uncultured bacterium
Lineage: Bacteria
Description: partial 16S ribosomal RNA
Rfam family: Bacterial small subunit ribosomal RNA
Source: RNAcentral
UACGUAGGGACCAAGCGUUGUUCGGAAUUACUGGGCGUAAAGCGCGCGUAGGCGGCUUUGUAAGUUAGAGGUGAAAGCCCGGGGCUCAACUCCGGAACUGCCUUUAAGACUGCAUCGCUUGAAUCCGGGAGAGGUGAGUGGAAUUCCGAGUGUAGAGGUGAAAUUCGUAGAUAUUCGGAAGAACACCAGUGGCGAAGGCGGCUCACUGGACCGGUAUUGACGCUGAGGUGCGAAAGCGUGGGGAGCAAACAGG